AUUGAACGCUGGCGGCACGCUUAACACAUGCAAGUCGAACGGCAGCAUGAUUAGUAGCAAUACUAGUUGAUGGCGAGUGGCGGACGGGUGAGUAAUGCGUAGGGAACUGUCUUUAAGUGGGGGAUAACCUAGGGAAACUUGGGCUAAUACCGCAUAGACUCUGAGGAGUAAAGUUGGCCUGCAAGGGCUGAUGCUUGAAGGUGUACCUACGUCGGAUUAGCUAGUUGGUUAGGUAAAGGCUGACCAAGGCGAUGAUCUGUAGCUGGUCUG
RNAcentral lists this ribosomal RNA (270 nucleotides) under uncultured bacterium. Its description in RNAcentral is "partial 16S ribosomal RNA". It matches the Rfam family "Bacterial small subunit ribosomal RNA", at positions 30 to 294 of the family's 1533-position model. The record is from RNAcentral.